GACUCUGAUAUAUUAUUCUUCAGUAUGUUCCUUGCCCUUUUUAACUCUAGAAUUUCUGCUUGAUUCUUUUUAAUUAUUUCAAUUUCUUUGUUAACUUUAUCUGAUAGGAUUUUGAAUUCCUUUCCUGUGUUAUUUUGAAUUUCAUUGAGUUUACUCAAAAAUUCUAAAUUCUCUUGUCUGAAAGGUCACAUAUUUCUGUCUCUUCUUGAUUGGUCACUGGUGCCUUAUUUAGCUCAAUUGGUGAAGUAAUGUUUUCUUGGAUGGUCUUGAUGCUUGUGGAGUUUGUUGGUAUCUGGGCAUUGAAGAGUUGGGUAUUUAUUGUAGUCUUCGAAAUCUAGGCUUGUUUGUACUCAUCCUUCUUCAGAAGACUUUCCAGGUAUUCAGAGGGACUUGGGCAUUGUGAUCUAAAUUUUUGGUCAUAGCAGCCAUAUCUGUAUGAGGGGGCACCCCAAGCCCAGUAAUGCUGUGGCUUUUGCAGACUUGUAGAGGUACUGCCUUGGUGUUCUUAGAUAAGAUCUGGAAAGAUUCACUGGAUUACCAGGCAGAGACUCUUGUUCUCUUCCAUUACUUUCUCCCAAACAAAUGGAGUCUCUCUCUGCUGAGCUGCCUGGAGCUGGGGGUGGGGUGACAUAUGCACCCCUAUGAUUACAACUACUGGGACUAUGCUGGUCAGGCCUGAAGCCAGCUCAGCAAUGGGUCUCAAUCAAGGCCCUCAGUAACCUCUGCCUGGCUGCCACCUAUGUUUGUGCAAGGCCCUAAGGGCUCUACCAUUAGCAGGUGGCAAAGCCAGCCAGGCUUGCGUUCUUCUCUGCAGGGCAGCACAUUCCCCCUGUUCCCAGGUGGGUCCAGAGAUGUCGCCUGGGAGCCAGGGCCUGGAGUUCUGUUACUGUGGCUGAGCUUGCACCCAAGCUACAAGAUGACAUCCUACUCUUCCCUCACCUUUCUACAAGUAGAGGAGUCUCUUCUCAUGGCCACCAUUGUCCCAGGAUGUGAGGUCUGGAACAGCUGCAGCCAUUUUGCCACCAUGGGAAACCUGGGACAUCUGAACUGACUCCAUGAAGCCUGAAGAGAAAGCUAAUAAGAAGGCAGAGAGAAGAGGAAGAGUCUUGGUCUUUGGAAAUAUCUUUUGGAGCUGCUGGAUCAAGUAUCACUUGAAGGUAGAACUAAAUCUGCACUUUAAAUUUACAUAUCCAAUAAAAAGUUCUUUAUGUUGUAAGCCAGUUUGAGGUGGAUUUCCUGUCACUUAUGGCUAAGAGAACCCUUGCUUAUUCUAUACCUAACUCACAGGCUUGUUGUGAGGUUUAAGUAAAAUAGCACUUAGUGAAGCAAGGUACACAAAUAAUACUCAAUGAAUGGUAAGCAAUAUUGUUAUGAUGCAUUUAUUUUUACAGCGUUAUGUGACCUUUUUAUUCUCUACUCCAACAUUGGCAUGUUUCUGUUAUUCUUUUCAGUAUUAUUGAAUUUAUUCCCCGAAGGAGAGCGGCUAAGAGUAUUGCCCAGCCACAGGCUCUCAACCACCAACCCGAGCCUCAGAUUCUCCUCACACAGCCACAGCUGUACCACAUGGCCCACGUGGUAUGGUGCUAAUUCCUCUGACAUCUAAUUUUCACUUUUUGGCAAUAUUUGGUCUCAUCAAGCUUUACACAUAAAUAUUUUCAGCAAAGUGCUCCAAAUGCCUUUUUCAGAAAUCUGAAUCCACAUGAAAACAAUGGCAACAAGAAAAAGGUGUAAACUUUCCAGAACAGGCCCAGAAUUUGAAAAUGUGAUAAAGAGGUUAUUGUGCGCCCGAACUUUUCACACAAGAAUUGGAGGAGAUUUAACACAUGGAAUAAUAAACAGAGGAAGGCGGGCUAAUGCAGAGCAGAUGGGCCUGCAGGGCAGUGCUCAGCAUUUCAACAUCUUUCCCCUGGACCUUUGGACCCAAGGUGAUUGCAUGCUGGUGUCUUUAGCUAAAAAUAAAGUUAAUGUCUUUGGGGCAAUCAUAAAUAUGGCUGCUUCAGUUUCUGGGGUGAUUGGUGGUCUAAAGUUUUCAAGAACCUACUAUGUGAAAGGCAUUUGACAUUCACUAAUUUAAUCCCAACUACUACUCCAUUUUGAAGGAAAAAAAUGAAGGCUCUGAAAGUGUAAAUCGCUUACUGAAGGGCACACGGCCAGGAUGACAGCGGAGCCAGGAUCACCCCAGGUCUGUCUCAUUGCAUAUGUCAUGGCUCUGCAAACUGGGGCAAUAGGUGAGCAGGGAGAAGAGUCAUGGCCAAAUAAAAUUGAGACAUACCGAUACACACACACACACACACACACACACACACACAUUUACACGGUAACAGCCUUAUUAAGGUACAACUAAUGUACAAUAAGGUGUACAUAUUUAAAGGAUACUAUUUGAUAAGUUUUGACAUAUGUCUGUACCUGGGAAACCAUCACUACAAUCAUGAUGGUGAGCAUAUCUAAUACUCUCAAAAGUUUCCUCUUGCCUUUUGUAAUUCCAUUCUGCCAUCCCACCUGUCCCUCCCACUCCUGAUCCCAGGCAACCACUGAUCUGCUUUCUGUCACUAUAGAUUAGUUACAUUUUCUAGAAUUUUAUAUAAAUGAAAUAAUACAAUAUGUACUAUUUUUCUGUGUUUCUUUCACUCAGCAAAAUUAUUUUGAGAUUCAUUCAUGUUAUUGCUUGUUUAUUCCUUUAUAUUGUUGAGUAGUUAUUCCAUUGUAUGAAUAUGCCACAAUUUGUUUAUCUGUUCAUCUACAUAUGGACAUCUAUAGAUGUUUGCACUUUUGGGC
This 2775-nucleotide long non-coding RNA is filed under the name Homo sapiens (human). RNAcentral describes it as "APRG1 tumor suppressor candidate". The record is from RNAcentral. Lineage: Eukaryota; Metazoa; Chordata; Mammalia; Primates; Hominidae.